Molecule: unclassified non-coding RNA, 214 nt
Filed under: Hevea brasiliensis (rubber tree)
Lineage: Eukaryota; Viridiplantae; Streptophyta; Magnoliopsida; Malpighiales; Euphorbiaceae
Source: RNAcentral
AUAAGGCACAAGGAGCCAUGUAACUGUGACUAUAACUUAGCACAAGGAGCCACGUAACUGUGACUAUAACUUAGGUAAUUGUUGGGUUUAUCAAUGUAGAAUCACAAAAUUUAGUGAAAGUUGUCUGCAAUUGAUGAAUUGGUAUGGAUUUACUUAUAAAACCAAUUAAGUAAAAGACCUCUCAACACACCUCAUUGUCCGUUCCAUGCCCAAG